Long non-coding RNA from Eriocheir sinensis (Chinese mitten crab), 2806 nucleotides. RefSeq lists it as uncharacterized. The record is from RefSeq and is a predicted model, not a curated record. The transcript is spliced from 2 exons. NCBI's taxonomy places the organism in Eukaryota, Metazoa, Arthropoda, Malacostraca, Decapoda, Varunidae.
CUUACAAGUCUCUUAAGACACCCCUUUCUUCACGUGUAAGAGAAAACGGGAAGGACGUAAAUAAAAGAAAAUGGGAUAUAACGCAAAAAUAAAUAAAGAUAUAAAAUGAAAAUAGAAAAUGACGUUGCAUAGAUAUUGGAUUUCCGAGAAGGAGGUUAAUAAAGGCAAAUGGAAUGAAUGGAAUGAAUGUCGCAAAAAGAAAAAGAGAAAUGGAUAUAAAUAUGACGUUGCCGAGACAUUAAUUUCAAACACGGAGGUAUAUAAAAGAAAACGGGAUGUGCGACGCAAUAAAAGAAAGUAAAGGGAGGAUGAAAAUAGAAAACAAAUAACGUUGCCGAGAUUUGAAUUUCUAACGCGCUGGUAAAUAAAAGAAAAUGGGAUGUACGACACAAUAAAAUAUAAUAAAAGGAAAACGGAAAUAGGAAAAAAAUGACCUAGCCGAGACAUUAGAUUUCAAACGCUGAGGUAAAGAAAACAGGAUGUAAGACGCGGAAAAAUAAAGGAAAGAAAAGGAAAACGGAGAUAGUAAUAAAAUAACGUUGUCGAGACAAUAGAUUUCAAACGCAGAGGUAAAUAAAAGAAAACGGGAUGUACGACGCAAUAAAAGAAAGAAAAGGAAAACGGAAAUUAAUAAAAAAUGACGUUGCCGAGACAUCAAUUUCUAACGCGCAGAUAAAUUAAAGAAAACGGGAUACAUAACGCAAAACCAAAAGAAAACGGGGACAAAAUAGAUGACACGAAGGUAACUCAAAGAAAAUAUAGCGAGGAAUGAAAUAUAUAUAGCAAAUGAAUGAAAAAGAAAACGGAUAGAAAAUAAAUAACGUUUUAACACGCAGAUAAAUAUAAGAAAAUGGGAUAUAUAACGAAAAAAGAAAGAAAACGGAGGCAGAAUAGAUGGCACAGAGGUAACUCAAAGAAAAUACAUAGAGAAAGGAUAUAUUUAUAAGUCAAACCAAAAACAAAAAAAAAGAAAGGGGAGACAGAAAAUAAACAACGAUGAUUAGAUAUUAAAUUUUCUAACACGGAGGUAAAAUAAAGAAAAUGGGAUGUGUAACGCAGAAAGAAAGAAGAAUACUGAUUGAAAAUAAGUAACGAUGACUAUAUAUUAGAUUUCUAUAAGAUUUCUAACACGGAGGUAAGAUAAAGAAAAUGGGAUGUGUAACGCAGAAAGACAGAAGAAAAAAACUGAUAGAAAAUAUAUGACAAUGACUAGAUAUUACAUUUCUUAGACGCAAAUUAUUCAGCAAACUUUGAGAGGGUUAGCCAUGACGUCACCGCUACUCCGGGAUGAAGCAUUGCCGACCUUCACGCCUGAUUGGCCGGGACGUGCGGACUGAUAGCCAAUCGCGGACCAGGACGGCGCUCAAGGGUGGCGUGUGGCGAGGGUGACGUCAUCGAAGUUUGUUUAUUUGCGCGAAGUUAAAACGAAAAAACGAAGUAAUGCGUUUUUUUUUCUGUAUGAGAAGGGAGAUUUAGGUAAGAUAGGAAAAGUUGGGUGCAUGUUAUUUACAGCUGCGCGUUGCUUCGGUGCUCAUCUCAGUAACAUUAGGGUAAAUUAGACUAGGGAGAUUUAAGUGAGAUACGUAAAGUUGGGUACAUACGUUAUUUACAGCUGCGCGUUGCUCCGGUGCUCGUCUCAGUAACAUUAGGGUAACAAAAUCAGACUGCUACUACUACUGCUAUUAAUAUUAGUACGACUUUUUUUUUUAGUGUAAAGGAAACAGCUCAAGGGGAAAAAAAGUAAGAGAAAAUAAACUGCCAAACACUGACCCUAUAUGAGUUCAGAAGAGUGGCCAAAAGAGAGGUCAAUUUCGGGAGGAGAGGAGUCUUGAUAAUCUACUUUUCUACUAACUACUACUACCACUACUACUACUACUGCUCAUGCUACAGUCACUACUCUAAUAACGAUAACAAUAAUGCUGAUGAUAAUGAUAAUAAUAAUGAGCGACUUCCUUAUCUUGGUCGCUGUAAGAUUUUUGUUGUUUUAUGAUGAAGAUGACAAAUGACGGUCGACCUGAAGGGAAGAAAAAACUUGGGCGCGCCGAGGCAAACUUAGAAUGAUCGAUGGGGAAGAGAUUAUACCGCGGGACGGAUAUUAAGAAAAGGAGGAUAAAACUUUAAAAAAAAUGUAAAAGGGCAAUGAUAAAGGUGUAUGUAAACUAAUAUAGAUAGAUAGAUUGAUUGAUAGAUAAUAAGAAUUGAUUGUAGAAAAGUGAAAAUGGUAAGAAAAGGAGGAUAAAACUUUAAAGAAAUGCAAAAAGGGCGAUGAUAAAGGUGUAUGUAAACUAAUAUAGAUAGAUAGAUAGAUUGAGUGAUAGAUAGAUAGAACUGAAGGUGGGACAAAAGAAUACAAAGAAAAGAAUGAAAAGGGAGGAGAAAAUACAGAAGCUAAAGAUGGAACAGAAGAAAACAGAGAAAAAGAAUGAAAAGGGAGGAGAAAAUGCAAUAGAUAACGGAGAGAAAAAAAAAUACAAAGAAAAAGUAUGAACAGGGAAGAGAAAAAACAGCAGACAAGAGAAGAAAAAAAGAAUACAAUGAAGAUUAAUUAAAAAGGAGGAGAAAAAACAAUAACCAAAGGAAACAGAAGCACAACAGUAAAGAAGAAGGAAAAAGAGAAAGCAAGAAAACAAACUGAUAAAGAAAUAUAUAGAAAAAAGAGAUUAACUUAGAGAAAAAUAAACGUUAAAAAAAUAAGUAAGAGAGAAAUGAGAAAAUAACAAAAGGAGAAAGAAGCACAACAUUGAAGAAGGAAAAAAUAGAAAACAAGAAAACAGAAGGUGAUGAAGAAAUAUAUAGAAAAAAGAGA